This 741-nucleotide ribosomal RNA is filed under the name Oliarus sp. 1 PCC-2008. RNAcentral describes it as "eukaryotic LSU rRNA". It matches the Rfam family "Eukaryotic large subunit ribosomal RNA", at positions 1282 to 1921 of the family's 3401-position model. Lineage: Eukaryota; Metazoa; Arthropoda; Insecta; Hemiptera; Cixiidae. The record is from RNAcentral.
GUAACAACUCACCUGCCGAAGCAACUAGCCCUGAAAAUGGAUGGCGCUCUAGCGUCGUGCCUAUACCGGGCCGUCAACGGCACAGUGGGCGUCUGUCCUUCGGUCAGAGCCGUUAAGCCUUGACGAGUAGGAGGGUCGCGGCGGUGUGCGCAGAAGGGUCAGGGCGUGAGCCCGCCUGGAGCCGCCGUCGGCGCAGAUCUUGGUGGUAGUAGCAAAUACUCUAGCGAGGGCCUGGAGGACUGACGUGGAGAAGGGUUUCUUGUGAACAGCCGUUGCACAAGAGUCAGUCGACCCUAAGCCCUAGGAGAAAUCCGAUGGCGAUGGGUGGCUAAACAACGUACCUAACCACGUUGUGUGUUCUUUCUGAUGCCCCUGUUGGGCAAAAGGGAGUCCGGUUCCUAUUCCGGAACCCGGCUGCGGAACCGUCACUCUGCGGGCACUCGCCUGCGAGCGCUCGUCGGGGUAACCCAAACUGGCCCGGAGACGCCGGCGGGGGGUCUGGAAAGAGUUUUCUUUUCUUUAUAAGCGUUCGAGUACCCUGGAAUCCUAUAGCAGGGAGAUAGGGUUUGGAACGCGAAGAGCACCGCAGUUGCGGCGGUGUCCGGACCUUCCCCCCGGACCUUGAAAAUCCGGGUGAGGGCUACGCGGAAGUCGCGCCGGAUCGUACCCAUAUCCGCAGCAGGUCUCCAAGGUUAAGAGCCUCUAGUCGAUAGAAUAAUGUAGGUAAGGGAAGUCGGCAAA